RNAcentral lists this ribosomal RNA (497 nucleotides) under uncultured bacterium. Its description in RNAcentral is "partial 16S ribosomal RNA". It matches the Rfam family "Bacterial small subunit ribosomal RNA", at positions 28 to 507 of the family's 1533-position model. The record is from RNAcentral.
GAUGAACGCUGGCGGCGUGCCUAACACAUGCAAGUCGAGCGAACAGAUGAUGAUCUUGUUCCUUUGACGUUUGCCGCGCACGUGUGUGUAACACGUGUAUAACCUACCUAUAAUUCGGAUAUCAUUUCGGGAAUCCGGCUCUUAUCCCGUAUAAUAUCUUGCUCCGCAUUGUUCGAUAGUUAAUUUCGGUUUUUCUGUCUCUUAUAGAUGCUUCCGCGCCUCAUUAUCUGGUUGGUAAGUUCACGGCUUUCGAAGGCAACGAUGGGUAGACGACGUGAGGGGGUGAUAGGCCACCUUGGAAGUGAGACACGGUCCAGACUCCUAAGGGAGGCAGCAGUAGGGAAUGUUCGGCAAUGGGGGAAAGCCUGACGGAGCGACGGCGAGUGAGAGAUGAAGGUGUUCGGAUCGUAAAACUCUGUUAUGAGGGAAGAACAAAUGUGUAAGUAACCAUGGAGGUAUUGACGGUAACUAAUAAGAAAGCACCGGCUAACUACGUG